GAUGAACGCUGGCGGCGUGCCUAAUACAUGCAAGUCGAGCGAACAGACGAGGAGCUUGCUCCUUCGACGUUAGCGGCGGACGGGUGAGUAACACGUAGGUAACCUACCUAUAAGACUGGGAUAACUUCAGGAAACCGGAGCUAAUACCGGAUAAUAUUUCGAACCGCAUGGUUCGAUAGUGAAAGAUGGCUUUGCUAUCACUUAUAGAUGGACCUGCGCCGUAUUAGCUAGUCGGUAAGGUAACGGCUUACCAAGGCAACGAUACGUAGCCGACCUGAGAGGGUGAUCGGCCACACUGGAACUGAGACACGGUCCAGACUCCUACGGGAGGCAGCAGUAGGGAAUCUUCCGCAAUGGGCGAAAGCCUGACGGAGCAACGCCGCGUGAGUGAUGAAGGUCUUCGGAUCGUAAAACUCUGUUAUUAGGGAAGAACAAACGUGUAAGUAACUGUGCACGUCUUGACGGUACCUAAUCAGAAAGCCACGGCUAACUACGUG
Molecule: ribosomal RNA, 497 nt
Filed under: uncultured bacterium
Lineage: Bacteria
Description: partial 16S ribosomal RNA
Rfam family: Bacterial small subunit ribosomal RNA
Source: RNAcentral